GCCAUGGCUCAAUUGUAGAGCAUCUGCCUUGCAUGCAGAAGGUCCCAGCAUCGCCAGGUAGAUCUGGGAGAAAUCCUGCUUGAAACC
Podarcis lilfordi (Lilford's wall lizard) is the source of this 87-nucleotide non-coding RNA. Lineage: Eukaryota; Metazoa; Chordata; Lepidosauria; Squamata; Lacertidae. The record is from the annotation of a GenBank genome assembly.